This 253-nucleotide ribosomal RNA is filed under the name uncultured bacterium. RNAcentral's name for it is "partial 16S ribosomal RNA". It matches the Rfam family "Bacterial small subunit ribosomal RNA", at positions 524 to 776 of the family's 1533-position model. The record is from RNAcentral.
UACGUAGGGGGCAAGCGUUGUCCGGAUUUAUUGGGCGUAAAGAGCGUGUAGGCGGCUUUACAGGUCCGUUGUGAAAACUCGAGGCUCAACCUCGAGACGCCGGUGGAAACUGCAAAGCUAGAGUCCGGAAGAGGAGAGUGGAAUUCCUGGUGUAGCGGUGAAAUGCGCAGAUAUCAGGAGGAACACCCGUGGCGAAGGCGGCUCUCUGGGACGGUACUGACGCUGAGACGCGAAAGCGUGGGGAGCGAACAGG